Molecule: transfer RNA, 73 nt
Organism: Vitrella brassicaformis
Lineage: Eukaryota; Vitrellaceae
Rfam family: tRNA
About the family: Transfer RNA (tRNA) molecules are approximately 80 nucleotides in length. Their secondary structure includes four short double-helical elements and three loops (D, anti-codon, and T loops).
Source: Rfam
GGGGAUGUGGCGAAAUUGGUAUCGCGUCCGCUUAGCAUGCGGAAGGUACUGGGAUCGAAGCCCAGCAUCUCCA